UAGGGAAUCUUCGGCAAUGGACGAAAGUCUGACCGAGCAACGCCGCGUGAGUGAAGAAGGUUUUCGGAUCGUAAAACUCUGUUGUUAGAGAAGAACAAGGACGUUAGUAACUGAACGUCCCCUGACGGUAUCUAACCAGAAAGCCACGGCUAACUACGUGCCAGCAGCCGCGGUAAUACGUAUGUGGCAAGCGUUGUCCGGAUUUAUUGGGCGUAAAGCGAGCGCAGGCGGUUUCUUAAGUCUGAUGUGAAAGCCCCCGGCUCAACCGGGGAGGGUCAUUAGAAACUGUGAGACUUGAGUGCAGAAGAGGAAAGUGGAAUUCCAUGUGUAGCGGUGAAAUGCGUAGAUAUAUGGAGGAACACCAGUGGCGAAGGCGGCUCUCUGGUCUGUAACUUACGCUGAGGCUCGAAAGCGUGGGGAGCAAACAGG
Molecule: ribosomal RNA, 429 nt
Filed under: Gemmatimonadota bacterium
Lineage: Bacteria; Pseudomonadati; Gemmatimonadota
Description: Gemmatimonadetes bacterium partial 16S ribosomal RNA
Rfam family: Bacterial small subunit ribosomal RNA
Source: RNAcentral